This 2464-nucleotide ribosomal RNA is filed under the name Triticum aestivum (bread wheat). Its description in RNAcentral is "partial small subunit ribosomal RNA". Lineage: Eukaryota; Viridiplantae; Streptophyta; Magnoliopsida; Poales; Poaceae. The record is from RNAcentral.
GCUUUUAAUAGAAGGGUUAGAAAAUCGCUUCAUUCGUUUACUUUUAAGAUCCUCCUUGCAACGCCUCGUCACCUUAACUGUGUUAUGAACAGGUCGCCGCGAGAAGGGAGCCUUAGCUAGUGUACGGCUGCCGAUCCGCCGUAGGUGUCGUCCGCUGGGUUGAGCGUGUGACCCGUCCAUGCGGCACGAGGCUGGCGUGAGGCGUCGUCAUAGGUUCUGGCCGCUACGGUACAGAGGCCGCUGUCGAGUGGACGCUGACCAUUUCCGUCUCUGGGUUUUCCGUUUUCCUCUUACACAGUGGCCUAGCUCCGGCAGGUCUCUUACUGGUUGGCGUGGUCGUUGGCAGGCUACGAUGGGUGGUGCGCAUUGCCGAAGGAGAAGGGGGGUGUAGCAGAAGCUCAUGUGUGCCCGGGGCCUAGAUGCCUUGGGGCUGCCGCGCCUCGUGUGAGGCCGCCGGCCGCUACUACCGGCCCGCGUUAGUGGUGGUUUCGGUGCCGGUCUCCGAGGCGGCGGAGCAGGGCACGUAGGAGCAGCAGCACGAGCGGCAGGUGCGGCAGAGGAAGCGCGAGAUGGAGGAGGAGGUCAGGUUGGUAGGAGGGGGCUUGGGGCCCUUAGGGCUUCGAGUCUGGGUACUCUCUCAGGCUCUCGGCAGAAGGGCCUUCGGCACCGGCGCGGAGGGCAGGAAGGAGGGGACCUGACGGCUGGGUAGCGACGGCGGCGCGAGGACGCUCCGGAUGAAGCCCUUGCCGAAGAGGGUAGAGCAUCUUCAGGAGGGCCUCCCCGCACCCCCGCCGCCCACCAAGGCUACGGUGGUGUCGCUCUGCGACCCGUCGAGCUAGACGCUCCCGUGCGCCCACGCCGAGCUGGGCCGCGACUAGUGCUACAGCGCGCCGCCGCUCGGCUAGGUGGUCCACUACCCGGCGUUCCUCCUCCUCCUCGACGGGUCCAUGCUUAGGCCACGCGACCACCACCUCCCCCGCCGCCGCCCCUCCUCCCCCGGGAACCAGCUCGGCCCCAAGGAGCUGCGGGUGCACGGGUGGUUGCCCUAGCCCUGCGUGUGGUACUCUCGCGACGAGCUGAGGCGCGCACAGCACGGCGGGCCACUCGAGGUGACGAGGGUCACCUAACUUCUUGGCUGUGAAGACCAGUGUGCUAAACUCAUACGUUUGGAAAAGGUGUGUUAAUGUCUGACCAUGUCACGUAUACAAUCAAGGUCUCAGUGCUCAAAUGGACUAGCAGGAUUACAACAAAAGCACCUACCCGUAACGUUCCGUGGUGACCUCGUUUGUACCCUUCGUGAAAAAAGUUUACACUGGAUACGGUUCUCGAAGAGACCGGGACAAACAAAGGCCGUACGUCAAGAAAGUGGUAACCCGAUACUCUGACGAGAUAAAUUCCCCGAAUCACUUUCGAAGUCGACACUUCCUCGGAGACGAGUCAGGGAAUCUUUAUUUGGUCUGGUGGUCUUUUGACGUGCCAACAGACUUAAGCCCCUCUACUAAUAUCGAAGAAAACUAGAAGACCUCCUACCCUAGCACGGCGGAUUUUUUUGUAGUUUACCUGAGUUCUAAGAGAAACAAGCCUCUCUUCUGAUGAACCGGGUGGGUGCAGUGUCACCCUUCCAACUUAGAUCCGAUUCGUUACUCGUCCUCCAUAAGCUACGUCAACUCUUCACCCGUUUUCCAGUCUUCACGUUUUAUUUGCAGCACUUACCAGAAAAACGCGUGUACUCGUACUUCCUCGUUGAGGUCCGAUAGGACCUUCGAAGUCAGUAUUAUCCCCGAGUACCCCGACCAGACUGUGUGGACCAAAGUCGGUGCGGUCUGUGUUUUCAAGAACUCUAUUAGUCGUCGAAGAUAGCUGCGGGUGUAAAACCGAACUAGAGUGUGACCUUCAGCAAUCUUAUAGUACGGUAUUUAGAGGGACCUAGUAUACGUUCAUAGGGUCUGCAAUGGUUACUCAACCCCUUAUAUGACUUUCCAGAGCCUACGACUUUGCCUCCAUAAGAAUUGCAACUCAAUGUCAACCUCUAGUGAGAGACGACCAAUAAGUAAGUUAGUGCGGGCAGCAGAUCCUAAGUGUGUCGGGGUCAAGAGCCGCCUCCUUAAAAGACGACGGUCUACAUCUGGCUAUAAGGUGACUGUUCGAUGACUACUGUACUUCUUUGGGUUAACUGUGACAGGUAAGGCAAGAGCUGCACAAGCGGUACUAGGACCCGGACCGAUGACCCCCACCUAGUUUGACAUUAACAUUAAAAUAACAAACCCGAACUUGCAAAAACACAACGUUAUGCUCACAACUCACGGAGGGUGACGCGUCAAGCACUACUUGUAAGAACACGUGCCACAUACUACGCGGGUAAUAAAGACGGUUGCCUGCGCCCCGUCGCCGCCACAUAGUAAAACCUUCCACCCUAGCUGCCACGGCCCAGUCAGUAUUGCGCGAGCGGGCACAUGAACGCAUG